GAAAUGCGAUAAGUAAUGUGAAUUGCAGAAUUCAGUGAAUCAUCGAAUCUUUGAACGCACAUUGCGCCCGCCAGUAGUCUGGCGGGCAUGCCUGUUCGAGCGUCAUUUCAACCAUCAAGCCCCCGGCUUGUGUUGGGGACCUGCGGCUGCCCGCAGGCCCUGAAAACCAGUGGCGGGCUCGCUGUCACACCGAGCGUAGUAGCAUACAUCUCGCUCAGGGCGUGCUGCGGGUUCCGGCCGUUAAAAGCCUUUUUUACCCAAGGUUGACCUCGGAUCAGGUAGGAAGACCCGCUGAACUUAAGC
Molecule: unclassified non-coding RNA, 303 nt
Filed under: plant metagenome
Description: partial contains 5.8S ribosomal RNA, internal transcribed spacer 2, and large subunit ribosomal RNA
Rfam family: 5.8S ribosomal RNA (bases 1-105)
Source: RNAcentral